CGGGGAGUAGCGCAGUCUGGUAGCGCACCUGCUUUGGGAGCAGGGUGUCGCAGGUUCAAAUCCUGUCUCCCCGACCA
Molecule: transfer RNA, 77 nt
Filed under: Acidobacteriota bacterium
Lineage: Bacteria; Pseudomonadati; Acidobacteriota
Description: Acidobacteria bacterium tRNA-Pro
Rfam family: tRNA
About the family: Transfer RNA (tRNA) molecules are approximately 80 nucleotides in length. Their secondary structure includes four short double-helical elements and three loops (D, anti-codon, and T loops). Further hydrogen bonds mediate the characteristic L-shaped molecular structure. tRNAs have two regions of fundamental functional importance: the anti-codon, which is responsible for specific mRNA codon recognition, and the 3' end, to which the tRNAs corresponding amino acid is attached (by aminoacyl-tRNA synthetases). tRNAs cope with the degeneracy of the genetic code in two manners: having more than one tRNA (with a specific anti-codon) for a particular amino acid; and 'wobble' base-pairing, i.e. permitting non-standard base-pairing at the 3rd anti-codon position.
Source: RNAcentral